CCUACGGGGGGCAGCAGUGGGGAAUAUUGGACAAUGGGGGGAACCCUGAUCCAGCCAUGCCGCGUGUGUGAAGAAGGCCCUCGGGUUGUAAAGCACUUUCAGUGAGGAAGAACGCCUGGUGGUUAAUACCCAUCAGGAAAGACAUCACUCACAGAAGAAGCACCGGCUAACUCCGUGCCAGCAGCCGCGGUAAUACGGAGGGUGCGAGCGUUAAUCGGAAUUACUGGGCGUAAAGCGCGCGUAGGUGGCUUGAUAAGCCGGUUGUGAAAGCCCCGGGCUCAACCUGGGAACGGCAUCCGGAACUGUCAAGCUAGAGUGCAGGAGAGGAAGGUAGAAUUCCCGGUGUAGCGGUGAAAUGCGUAGAGAUCGGGAGGAAUACCAGUGGCGAAGGCGGCCUUCUGGACUGACACUGACACUGAGGUGAGAAAGCGUGGGUAGCAAACAGGAUUAGAUACCCGGGUAGUC
Molecule: ribosomal RNA, 465 nt
Filed under: Vreelandella stevensii
Lineage: Bacteria; Pseudomonadati; Pseudomonadota; Gammaproteobacteria; Oceanospirillales; Halomonadaceae
Description: partial 16S ribosomal RNA
Rfam family: Bacterial small subunit ribosomal RNA
Source: RNAcentral